This 253-nucleotide ribosomal RNA is filed under the name uncultured bacterium. RNAcentral describes it as "partial 16S ribosomal RNA". It matches the Rfam family "Bacterial small subunit ribosomal RNA", at positions 524 to 776 of the family's 1533-position model. The record is from RNAcentral.
UACGGAGGAUCCAAGCGUUAUCCGGAAUCAUUGGGCUUAAAGGGUCCGUAGGCGGUUUAAUAAGUCAGUGGUGAAAGCCCAUCGCUCAACGGUGGAACGGCCAUUGAUACUGUUAAACUUGAAUUAUUAGGAAGUAACUAGAAUAUGUAGUGUAGCGGUGAAAUGCUUAGAGAUUACAUGGAAUACCAAUUGCGAAGGCAGGUUACUACUAAUGGAUUGACGCUGAUGGACGAAAGCGUGGGUAGCGAACAGG